GUGGGGAAUAUUGGGCAAUGGGCGCAAGCCUGACCCAGCAACGCCGCGUGAAGGAAGAAGGCUUUCGGGUUGUAAACUUCUUUUACCAGGGACGAAACAAAUGACGGUACCUGGUGAAUAAGCCACGGCUAACUACGUGCCAGCAGCCGCGGUAAUACGUAGGUGGCGAGCGUUAUCCGGAUUUAUUGGGUGUAAAGGGCGUGUAGGCGGGACAGCAAGUCAGAUGUGAAAACCAGAGGCUCAACCUCUGGCCUGCAUUUGAAACUGUUGUUCCUGAGUGUCGGAGAGGUAAUCGGAAUUCCGUGUGUAGCGGUGAAAUGCGUAGAUAUACGGAGGAACACCAGUGGCGAAGGCGGAUUACUGGACGAUAACUGACGCUGAGGCGCGAAAGCGUGGGGAGCAAACAGGAUUAGAUACCCUAGUAGUCC
RNAcentral lists this ribosomal RNA (428 nucleotides) under uncultured bacterium. RNAcentral's name for it is "partial 16S ribosomal RNA". It matches the Rfam family "Bacterial small subunit ribosomal RNA", at positions 354 to 796 of the family's 1533-position model. The record is from RNAcentral.